This 543-nucleotide ribosomal RNA is filed under the name uncultured bacterium. Its description in RNAcentral is "bacterial SSU rRNA". It matches the Rfam family "Bacterial small subunit ribosomal RNA", at positions 35 to 572 of the family's 1533-position model. The record is from RNAcentral.
GCUGGCGGCGUGCCUAAACAUGCAAGUCGAGCGGUAACAGGUGUAGCAAUACAUGCUGACGAGCGGCGAACGGGUGAGUAAUGCUUCGGAAUCUGCCCAAUGGUGGGGAAUAACCAGCCGAAAGGUUGGCUAAUACCGCAUAAGUCCUACGGGGGAAAGCAGGGGAUCGCAAGACCUUGCGCCGAUGGAUGAGCCGAAGUCGGAUUAGCUAGUUGGUAGGGUAACGGCCUACCAAGGCGACGAUCCGUAGCUGGUCUGAGAGGACGACCAGCCACACUGGGACUGAGACACGGCCCAGACUCCUACGGGAGGCAGCAGUGGGGAAUAUUGGACAAUGGGGGAAACCCUGAUCCAGCGACGCCGCGUGUGUGAAGAAGGCCUGCGGGUUGUAAAGCACUUUUAGUGGGGAUGAAAAGCUCAGGGCUAACACCUCUGGGUCUUGACCUAACCCAAAGAAAAAGCACCGGCUAACUCUGUGCCAGCAGCCGCGGUAAUACAGAGGGUGCGAGCGUUAAUCGGAAUUACUGGGCGUAAAGCGUGCGU